This is a non-coding RNA of Arachis ipaensis, 442 nucleotides long. The record is from RefSeq and is a predicted model, not a curated record. NCBI's taxonomy places the organism in Eukaryota, Viridiplantae, Streptophyta, Magnoliopsida, Fabales, Fabaceae.
GUGACCGUGAUCGCUUUGCUGCUUCUGUUGAAUGGAUUGGUAAAAAUAUUCGCUUUGAUAUUGUGAGUGAAUGGCUAAGCAACUGAAUUUCAAGUUUCUGUACUCAAUUUGGAGUUAAGGAUGAAUUUAAUUACUUUUUGGUCGGUUACAGAACAAAAUUGUUUCUUUGUUUGAGACGACAAUUAGAGUUCUUGGAGAAUUGCUUUCGGCUCAUCUUAUAGCCAAUGAUUACGCUACGGGAUGCGAUGAUUGGUGCGGUUCCAAGCUAUGAGGAGCUGUAUAUUAAAGUUCCAAGGGUCUUAAGUAUGGACUAAAAACUUUGUAAAGGUACUUGAUUUGAUACAAGAAAACAAGACUAUGGUUUUGUACUCUGCAUUUCUUGGUUCUUUUUAUUGGAAAAUGAUCUAGCUCUUAAUCUAUAUAACAUUCAUUUUUGUCAUCA